This 143-nucleotide ribosomal RNA is filed under the name uncultured eukaryote. RNAcentral describes it as "partial 18S ribosomal RNA". It matches the Rfam family "Eukaryotic small subunit ribosomal RNA", at positions 1299 to 1458 of the family's 1831-position model. The record is from RNAcentral.
UCGUGGAGCGAUUUGUCUGAUUAAUUUCGAUAACGAACGAGACUCCGGCUUACUAAAUAGUCUAAAGUUCGAAGGGACUUUUAUUCAAGACUUCUUAGCAGGAUAAAUGGCGCUCUUAAGCCAUACGAAAUGGAGCAAUAACA